RNAcentral lists this long non-coding RNA (3147 nucleotides) under Ananas comosus (pineapple). Its description in RNAcentral is "long non-coding RNA (ACOM_LNC038843)". Lineage: Eukaryota; Viridiplantae; Streptophyta; Magnoliopsida; Poales; Bromeliaceae. The record is from RNAcentral.
UGUAUAAAGAGAGAUAGUCUAACUAUCACAAUCAUUCAACAUUUACAUUAUUUGAAUAUAUUAUAUUUUCAUCUUCCAAAAUGUAAGUACAUGUUUUCUUCAAAAUACAAGUAGCUCUCUGAUAUCUAUCCAAAAUAUCAACUAGUACACGAGGGUACUCUAAUGCAUAAGGAAAAACUACUAACUAGGCUCACUUAGGGCGCUAUGCCCUUGCCGCGGUCCUCGCUCGGCUCGCCUCUAUGUGUACCUUUUACCGCUAUCACGAGGCUAGGUUCUCAAUUGCACGUUCCCUAGUCGCCGCUUUACUCAUCGGUCUACACAAGGCCGCCUGCGCUUGUUUUUGCUAGAACGUCGCACCUGCUCGACGAAUCGACGAACCGACGCUUCACACGCAUUUAAGCACCUCAAACACAAGCUUUUCCUCAAACCAAGUAAUGAAGAGGAUGAAGACUUCACCUCCAAGCAACCUUUUUUCUUCUCCAAAUGCACCUCCAAUUCCUCUCUUUGGUGGAGAAAUUGUUGGAGAGAGAGAGAUAUUUCUCUUUGGUUGCAAGUGUGAGGAAGAAAGAAAGAAAAGGCUCAAGUCCCCUAUAUAUAUAUAUAGGAAACUUGGCCUCCAAGUUUCAUAGGAAACUUGGUCUCCAAGUGUCAUAGGAAACUUAGCCUCCAAGUUUCAUAGGAAACUUGGCCUCCAAGUUAUCUAGGAAACUUGGCCUCCAAGUUAUCCAAGAACACUAUUCACAUUCAGUUUAGCAGCACGGUACAGAUAUUUUUCGUCUGCCCUGUCUCUCACAGAAAAUUUUAAAUCUUCUGUUUUCGCUUCCAUUUCAACACGGGUCACUCUAGACUUAUAAUUUAUGUCUAUAAGUCCAAUAAAAAUAGUAUCCCCACUAUUUUUAUUUAUUUCCACUUUUACAUUUAAAAUCCGGUACCUUACAAUUAGACUACUCAGUUGCGCCCUAACAGUAUAACUUUGCAACGAGUACUUUUUCUCAUUCUAUCGAAUAAGGAGUAAACCAAUUAUAUUGUUCUAUUAUACCCCGAGAGUGUAAAUUUGGAACGAAUCGAUGUCAACGUUCACAAGAAUCAAAACCGGAACAACAUUAGACUAUUCAGUAGCGCACUAACAGUAUAACUUUGCAAGGAGUACUUUUUCUUAUUCUAUCGAACAGAGAGUAAAACCUAAUUAUAUUGUUCUAUUAUGCCCCGAGAGUGUAAAUUUGGAACGAAUCGAUUAAACGUUCACAAGAACCAAAACAGGAACAAAGUUAGGCAACUCAGUUGAGCCCUAAAAGUAUAACUUUACAACUAGUACUUUUUCUCAUUCAAUCGAACAAAGAGCAAAACCUAAUUUUAUUGUUCUAUUAUGCCACGGGAGUGUAAAUUUGGAACGAAUCGAUGUCAACGUUCACUAGACCCAAAACCGGAACAACAUUAGACAACUCAGUUGUCCCAUAACAGUAUAACUUUGCAACGAGUACUUUUUCUCAUUCUAUCGAAUAAGGAGUAAAAGCUUUCUAUUAUGCCCUGAGAGUGUAAAUUGAACGAAUCGAUGUCAACGUUCACAAGAACCAAAAUUGGAACAAAGUUAGGCUACUCAGUUGAGCCCUAAUAGUAUAACUUUGCAACCAGUACAUUUUUUCAUUCAAUCGAACAAAGUGCAAGAACUAAUUAUAUGGUUCUAUUAUGCCCCGAGAGUUUAAAUUUGGAACGAAUCGAUAUAAACGUUCACAAGACCCAAAAUCGGAACAAAGUUAGACUACUCAGUUGAGCCCUAAAAGUAUAACUUUACAACUAGUACUUUUUCUCAUUCGAUCGAACAAAGAGCAAAACCUAAUUUUAUUGUUCUAUUAUGCUCCGGGAGUGUAAAUUUGGAACGAAUCGAUGUCAACGUUUACAAGAACCAAAACCGGAACAAUAUUAGACUACUCAGUUGAGCGCUAACAGUAUAACUUUGCAACUAGUACUUUUUCUCAUUCAAUCGAUCAAAGAGCAAAACCUAAUUAUAUUCUUCUAUUAUGCCCCGAGAGUGUAAAUUUGGAACGAAUCGAUGUAAACGUUCACAAGAACCAAAACCGGAACAAAGUUAUACUACUCAGUUGAGCCCAAACAGUAUAACUUUGCAACUAGUACUUUUUCUCCUUCAAUCGAACAAAGAGCAAAACCAAAUUAUAUUGUUCUAUUAUACCCCGAGAGUGUAAAUUUGGAACGAAUCGAUGUCAACGUUCACAAGAACCAAAACCGGAACAAGAUUAGACUACUCAGUUGCGCCACAACAGUAUAACUUUGCAACGAUUACUUUUUCUCAUUCUAUCGAACAAAGGGUAAAACCUUUCUAUUAUGCCCCGAAAGUGUAAAUUUGGAACGAAUCGAUGUGAACGUUCACAAGAACCAAAACCGGAACAAAUUAUACUACUCAUUGCGCCGUAACAGUAUAACUUUGCAACUAGUACUUUUUCUCAUUCAAUCGAACAAAGAGCAAAACCUAAUUAUAUUCUUCUAUUAUGCCCCGAGAGUGUAAAUUUGGAAUGAAUCGAUGUAAACGUUCACAAGAACCAAAACCGGAACAAAGCUAGACUACUCAGUUGAGCCCUAACUGUAUAACUUUGCAACGAGUACUUUUUAUCAUUCUAUUGAAUAAGUAGUAAAAGCUUUCUAUUAUGCCCCGAGAGUGUAAAUUUGGAACGAAUCGAUGUAAAUGAUCACAAGAACCAAAACCGGAACAAAGUUAUACUACUCAGUUGAGCCCUAACAGUAUAACUUUGCAACUAGUACUUUUUCUCAUUCAAUCGAACAAAGAGCAAAACCAAAUUAUAUUGUUCUAUUAUACCCCGAGAGUGUAAAUUUGGAACGAGUCGAUGUCAACGUUCACAAGAACCAAAACCGGAACAACAUUAGAUUACUCAGUUGCGCCAUAACAGUAUAACUUUGUAACGAGUUCUUUUUCUCAUUCUAUCGAACUAGGAGUAAAAACUUUCUAUUAUGCCCCGAGAGUGUAAAUUUGGAACGAAUCAAUGUAAACGAUCAAAAGAACCAAAAUCGGAACAAAAUUAGACUACUCAGUUGCGCCGUAACAAUAUAACUUUGCAACUAGUACUUUUUCUCAUUCAAUCAAACAAAGAGCAAAACCUAAUUAUAGUGUUCUAU